UUUAUUUCCGGUAUCUCUAGUCUGUUCCAUUGACCUAUAUGUUUGUUUUCAUGCAAGUGCCAUAUAGUUUUGAUUACUGUAGCUUUGUAGUAUAGUUUGAAAUAGGGAAUGCAAUACCUUCAGAUUUGUUUUUCCUUCUAAAAUUGCUUUGGCUACUCGGGGUCUUUUGUGGUUCUAUGUUCAAGUUCUGUGGAAAAUUCCACAAGCAUUUUAUAAGAAUUUCAAUUAAUACAUAGAUUUCCCUGGAUGAUGUGGGCAUUUUAAUAGUAUUCCUUUUUCUAAUCCAUAAGCACUAUAUAUCUUUUCACUUAUUUAUGGCAUUUUCAAUUUUCUUUCAUCAAUGUCUGUUAGUUUUCAGAAUACAGAUUGUCCACCUCCUUGGUUAAGUGAGUAUUUUAUUCUCUUCCUGACAAUUCAUUAUUAGUGUAUAGAGACACAACCUAUUUCUGUGUAAAAUAGGUCCUCUUUAUCCAUUGGUUUUGCAUCAGUGAAUACAGAGGGCACAGGGACCUAUGUCAUUUUUUUUUUUUUUUUUUGGAGCUUCUGGGCCAGGGAUCAGAUCCAAGCCAGAGUUGCAAACUAUGCCACAGAUUCAGCAAUGCUGGAUCCUUAAUCCACUGUGUAGAGACCUCCAUCCCAGCCCUCCAUAGAUAUGCUCCUAAUCCCAUUGCACCAGGGUGAGAACUUUUGUACUAUGCCAUUUUAUGUAAGGGAGUCAAUCAUCCACAGAUUUUGAUAUCAAAAAUGAAAUGUGGAUGUUGAGGGAUGAGUGUAUUAAUUUUGCAUCCUGCUAUUAUACUGGAUUCAUUUAUUAGUUCUAAGUUUUUGUGGUAUAAUCUUGAGUUUUUUAUAUAUACAGUAUCAUGUCAUCUUCAAAUAGUGACAACAUUACUUCUUCCUUUACAACUUGUAUGCAUUUUAUUAUAUUCCCUGUCUAAUUGCUGUGACUAGGACUUCCAAUACUAUGUUAAAUAAAAGUGGAGCUAGUGGACAUCUUUGUGUUUUUCCUGCUCUUAUUGAUUAUGAUGAUAGCUGUGAGUUUGCCAUAUAUGGCUUUUAUUAUGUUAGAUGUAUAUCCUCUUUAACACCUUCUUAAGAGCUUUUAUCAUAAAUGGUUGUUGAAUUUUGUCAAAUGCUUUAUAUGCACCUAUUGUGAUUUGUUAUAUUUAUUUUUGUUACUGUGGUAUAUCAUAUUGAUUUGUGGAUGUUAAGCCAUGCUUUACGUCCUUGAAAUUAAAGCCCACUUAAUUAAAAUGAACAAGGAAUAUUGUUUACUUUUCCACAUGUGUCUCCACCACCUUUGUGUCUGUCUCAUGAGUUUCUAGCUAUAAGUGAAAACAGUGGAGAGAGAAUUAUUUGUAUAGUUCUUUCUAUCCUCUCUUUCAUGUACUCAUUCCCCAAUAGGCAAUUUGCUUUUGUUCAAUUCCCAGUAGUAUAACUACUUUCAGAUAGUCGCUUUUGUAUGGUGUUCCAGUUUUAUAGUUGUUUUUCUGCAGGGAGUAUUCCAAUAUGGCAUAUAGUCCAUCUUUAUCAAAUGUAGAAGUUGCUUAAAUUUCUUGUUGUACAUCUGAACUUGUGGCUAAUAAAAUGCAGAGCAUUAUACCAGCUAUUUAAAUAACUAAUUAUUAAUAACAAAAUAGUGACUAUGCUGUAGUUAGACUGAACACAAGAGGGAAUUGUCCUCCACUUGUACUGUUAUAGAAGUAUUUAGGUGAGCUAAGUUAGAGUAGUUGCACAAAUAUUGAGACAAAAAUGAGGAGACAUUUUCAGACUACGAAGCUUCACAUAAACUAGAAACAAAAGUCAUGGUAGCAUCUAAGACUUCCAUAUUAUUUUAAGUGUAGAGGUGCAAGAUAGCCUAUAGUCAGGUUGACGGUGUUAUUGUGGAGUAGUGGUGGUUGUGGUGAUGGUAACGAUGAUGAUAGGAGUGCUAACUGCUGGCAGUGAUGGUGGUGUUGGUGGUGAGAAUAUUAGUAUUCGUGGUAUUGGUUGAGGUAGCGGGUGGAAAUGGAAAAGGUUAUAAUGAUAACCUUUGAAAUCUGAAAUGGUUUGCAGAAAUGAUUAGAUAGCAGGUUCAACAAAGAGAUGAAUUCCACCUAUUUCUAACACUGGGAAAGAUAUUCACUAAUAUCAAGUAAAAAGCAUGUAGACGUCAACUUGAAUUACUAAACUCUAAUAUCCAAUGAGCUUCAUUUAACCUCUUUAACAAGUUUCCCAAGGCAAGGGUUGGUUGAGUUGGACUGUAUCUAUAUUCCUUCACUGUUACCCUAUCACAUUUUGUUCAUGUGUAUAUUUUUGUAAUGUUUGCUAUGCCAUAACAAAAUUAUUCACUUUUUUAGUUUAUUGUUUGAGAAUGAGGAGUAUGCCUUUUCAUUUUCUGUUAUUACCUUACAUAAAAUGUUUAAUGAUGUUCAAAGAUUUGGAUUUUAACCAUGAUUUGGAGUAUACAGGAAUGUUACAUUUUUUCCAUUAAGUAAAAUUAAUUUUACUCUGAGCAUGCAUAAUAAUGAUUGACUAGAAAUAUGAAAUAUUUAAUAGAGCUUCCACUCUACCUACAUUCACUCAAUGUUCUUCAAAUAUCUGCACAGCAAAACAAAAUUGAUGACCCCAGAUUUGUUCCAUAGUAACACACAUAAGCAUUUGAAGUGCUAAGACAUAAGGUUUCUAUGCUAUACUUGGUGGAUAAGGUGGGAAAUAUGAUGCCCAUGGUCCAGCCUAAUAGAACAACCACUGAGCCAUCCAUUUCCCUUUGCCAUUUCACUGCUUAUAAGGCAUGCAAUAUGAAAAGCCAUGUAGGGCUGGUAAUCAUAACACCAAUCAAGUUUUUUUUUCCUUCUCAAUAUGGAGAUAUCUUUUCUCUUUCUCCUGCUUGCUUUAUUUUGCAUCACCUCCAUCUACUUUAGAAAAACACCCACCCUAGAGUCUCAGAAAUGGCCCUAACAUCUAUCUUAUAAAGAGAUUUUCAUUUAGGAACUUUUAUUUUCUUCUGUCUUUCUAAUUUACCUUUCACUGAAACAAUACAAAAUCAGGCUACCUGGUUGAAGUGGAGCAUUCUGGGAGAAUGUAAAGGAAAUACGUACAGCAACACAUUACUACUAACACCUUAGGGAAUAAUCCUGCUGCAUACACAUUUGUGAAAUUAAUGUGAAUGGGAUUAGUUUAGAUAAAUUAACUCCUUUUUAAUUUGGAUGACAUCUAGGGAGAACAAGUAUUUUAUUUGUUUUCUUAUCUCAUAAUUCUCUAAAUUUGUUAAUCAUUUGUUAUUUUUGUUAAACUUUUUCAGGUCCUUUAUAGGUACUAGUCUUUAAAACUAAGAGACUGAAUUUGUUCACACUCAGCAGAAACGGGCAGGGUUGGAAAUAUAGUUCAUCUCUCCACAUCAUACUGUGCUACAGAGGAAUGUGGUGAGAAGUUGGGCAGCAAUGCACAUUUAAGGGAUAAAAUCAUCCUUGGGCCCGUGGAAGGGGAAAAAAAAAGAAACUGAAGAGGGUUUCUAGGCUGGACUUAGAGGCUUUGGGGUUUUGAUCUGAAGUUUCCAAAGUUGGAAUGUGAUUGUCUUAGGCCAUAUUUCAUAUCCUACUGUACCCUCCUUACCUCAUUAAAAUUUCUUAUUCACACUGCUUAAUCCAACCCAAAGGCCAAUGCACUAUUUUUUGGAUAUUCUUAGUUUUUCAUAGUAAAUUUGUAAGCAGAAAAAAAUAAUUCUUCUAACCUCUAUCUUAUUCCAGAGGAAAAAAGAGCAUUACUUCAGCUCAGCCAGUUUGAAGAAAAUACCAGGUUUUUUCCUGUUAGUUCAGUUGCGUUUUCUCCUGAUAGUAUCCAGAAUAAAUUAAACCCAUGUGCUGAUCUGCAGCACACAUCAAACUCCUUACUUUGCAGGAUUUAAAUAACUCCAUAUAUGUCCCUAGGGUUUAUCCCAAUUGAAUUAAUAGCCAGGUCCCU
RNAcentral lists this long non-coding RNA (3942 nucleotides) under Sus scrofa (pig). Its description in RNAcentral is "lncRNA (ENSSSCG00000052260.1)". Lineage: Eukaryota; Metazoa; Chordata; Mammalia; Artiodactyla; Suidae. The record is from RNAcentral.